Non-coding RNA from Cajanus cajan (pigeon pea), 807 nucleotides. The record is from RefSeq and is a predicted model, not a curated record. NCBI's taxonomy places the organism in Eukaryota, Viridiplantae, Streptophyta, Magnoliopsida, Fabales, Fabaceae.
UGCUUGUUGGAACACCUCAGUGACCUUUCCUCUGGUGGACUCAUCUACAGCAAAUACCAUCAGCCAAUAUGUGUUGAAUCCAUUGACAUAGAAAGAAAUUGUAUCAAAUACAGAAGAGUAGUGUGCAAGUGGAGAUCAUGUUUCUACUCUGGCUUUAAAGCAAAGAAAAUUCUCUAUUCCAUAGCAAUGGAUAAACAAAGUAAUUGAAGGGUAGGAGCAAAGUUGCAUUAACUUCACGUCUUCACCCCCUAACUCUCUAAGGUUCAACGUGUACAUGUGACAACCUAGUACAAGGUUCUCAUAAUCAAUUCUAGCUGUGAUGUCUCCAUCACAUACAUUUCGGGAAGAACUUGAUGAUAAGAAUUUGUCAAAUGAAGAAAAUAAAUGGCCAUACUGUGUGAUAUCUCUUCCUUGCUAAAAGCUGCUUGGAGGAGGAGCAGGAGGGGUAGAGUAGAAGAGAAGGAUUAAAGAAAAAAGAGAGGUGAAGAUGAGAAACAAAAGAAGGCUUGGUUUGAAUUGGCACUCUUCUAGCAUGUUUGGUUUAGAUUUAGGGUUUAGGGUUUAGGGUUUAGGGUUUACAAGACAAUUUACGUGGAAGUUAUAAUUUUUUACUUCUCAUAAACGUGAAUUUUCACGUCUAAAAGCUAAAGCAAACACGCACUUCAUUAUAAUACUUAUCAGUGUAAUGUGAUGCUUGCAUCCAUGGUACAAGCCUAUUUAAUUCUUCAUGUUAUGGGGGCCAGGAUGUGGUCCCUACGUGUCAAAGUUUCGUAUGUAAUUAUUAAUUAUUAAUUAGAUUUGAAACAA